UACGUAGGGAGCAAGCGUUGUCCGGAAUCAUUGGGCGUAGAGCGCGCGUAGGCGGCCCUGUAAGUCCGCUGUGAAAGUCAAAGGCUCAACCUUUGAAAGCCGGUGGAUACUGCAGGGCUAGAGUCCGGAAGAGGCGAGUGGAAUUCCUGGUGUAGCGGUGGAAUGCGCAGAUAUCAGGAGGAACACCCGUGGCGAAGGCGGCUCUCUGGAACGCAACUGACGCUGAGACGCGAAAGCGUGGGGAGCAAACAGG
This 253-nucleotide ribosomal RNA is filed under the name uncultured bacterium. RNAcentral describes it as "partial 16S ribosomal RNA". It matches the Rfam family "Bacterial small subunit ribosomal RNA", at positions 524 to 776 of the family's 1533-position model. The record is from RNAcentral.